GUUUGAUCAUGGCUCAGAUUGAACGCUGGCGGCAGGCCUAACACAUGCAAGUCGAACGGUAACAGGAAGCAGCUUGCUGCUUCGCUGACGAGUGGCGGACGGGUGAGUAAUGUCUGGGAAACUGCCUGAUGGAGGGGGAUAACUACUGGAAACGGUGGCUAAUACCGCAUAACGUCGCAAGACCAAAGAGGGGGACCUUCGGGCCUCUUGCCAUCAGAUGUGCCCAGAUGGGAUUAGCUAGUUGGUGAGGUAACGGCUCACCAAGGCGACGAUCCCUAGCUGGUCUGAGAGGAUGACCAGCCACACUGGAACUGAGACACGGUCCAGACUCCUACGGGAGGCAGCAGUGGGGAAUAUUGCACAAUGGGCGCAAGCCUGAUGCAGCCAUGCCGCGUGUAUGAAGAAGGCCUUCGGGUUGUAAAGUACUUUCAGCGGGGAGGAAGGUGUUGUGGUUAAUAACCGCAGCAAUUGACGUUACCCGCAGAAGAAGCACCGGCUAACUCCGUGCCAGCAGCCGCGGUAAUACGGAGGGUGCAAGCGUUAAUCGGAAUUACUGGGCGUAAAGCGCACGCAGGCGGUCUGUCAAGUCGGAUGUGAAAUCCCCGGGCUCAACCUGGGAACUGCAUUCGAAACUGGCAGGCUUGAGUCUUGUAGAGGGGGGUAGAAUUCCAGGUGUAGCGGUGAAAUGCGUAGAGAUCUGGAGGAAUACCGGUGGCGAAGGCGGCCCCCUGGACAAAGACUGACGCUCAGGUGCGAAAGCGUGGGGAGCAAACAGGAUUAGAUACCCUGGUAGUCCACGCCGUAAACGAUGUCUACUUGGAGGUUGUGCCCUUGAGGCGUGGCUUCCGGAGCUAACGCGUUAAGUAGACCGCCUGGGGAGUACGGCCGCAAGGUUAAAACUCAAAUGAAUUGACGGGGGCCCGCACAAGCGGUGGAGCAUGUGGUUUAAUUCGAUGCAACGCGAAGAACCUUACCUGGUCUUGACAUCCACAGAACUUUCCAGAGAUGGAUUGGUGCCUUCGGGAACUGUGAGACAGGUGCUGCAUGGCUGUCGUCAGCUCGUGUUGUGAAAUGUUGGGUUAAGUCCCGCAACGAGCGCAACCCUUAUCCUUUGUUGCCAGCGAUUAGGUCGGGAACUCAAAGGAGACUGCCAGUGAUAAACUGGAGGAAGGUGGGGAUGACGUCAAGUCAUCAUGGCCCUUACGACCAGGGCUACACACGUGCUACAAUGGCGCAUACAAAGAGAAGCGACCUCGCGAGAGCAAGCGGACCUCAUAAAGUGCGUCGUAGUCCGGAUUGGAGUCUGCAACUCGACUCCAUGAAGUCGGAAUCGCUAGUAAUCGUGGAUCAGAAUGCCACGGUGAAUACGUUCCCGGGCCUUGUACACACCGCCCGUCACACCAUGGGAGUGGGUUGCAAAAGAAGUAGGUAGCUUAACCUUCGGGAGGGCGCUUACCACUUUGUGAUUCAUGACUGGGGUGAAGUCGUAACAAGGUAACCGUAGGGGAACCUGCGGUUGGAUCACCUCCUUACCUUAAAGAA
This 1542-nucleotide ribosomal RNA is filed under the name Salmonella enterica subsp. enterica serovar Typhimurium str. DT104. Its description in RNAcentral is "bacterial SSU rRNA". It matches the Rfam family "Bacterial small subunit ribosomal RNA". Lineage: Bacteria; Pseudomonadati; Pseudomonadota; Gammaproteobacteria; Enterobacterales; Enterobacteriaceae. The record is from RNAcentral.